UGACACUCUUUCGCCUACUCUCUAUCUCAAAACAAUUCUAUAUUGUUUUUCUUAUAUAUUUUAUUUAUAAUAAUAAUAAAGCCCUGCUUCGUUUUAAGUGUUUUAACUCCCGAUCACCGCUACCCUUUCCGAUUGAUCUAAGUCUCAUAACAUAUGUCAGGGCUCUGCCCGACUAAGUUGUUGGGAUUCGGUCUCGGGACUUCGGGACAAGGUUGAAUUAGGGGUACUAUACUUAACACGAGUACAUUAUAUUUUAAUAGCCCAAAAGUUAUACCCAAAAUUUAUACCAGGAGUCUUUCUAGUUGAACCCUAAAGUUACACAGUAGGUCCACUCUCUUUUCUCACUAUUUUAUUCUCUUUUUGUGAUUUACCCAAACCUAUUAUUUAUUAUUUAUUUUGUAAACGAAUCUCAUCAAAAGUCAUACCUAUUAUUUUAUUUACCCAAUAGGAAACCCUAGUUGAGACACCCAAGUAAUCCUGCACAACUCCUAAAAUUUUCAUAGCAAUCAGAAUCAGGAUUUGGGCCCCUAAAACUCAGAGGGGGACAAUUCCCAUUCGAUAUUAUCUUAAAAUCUCGUUGUCAAAAUUGAAUUUUAUUAUUCUGUCAACUCAGCAAGCCUACCCCUAAACGUGUCCACCCUAGGCUAGAAAAUAGACCCGUCGCGCCACGCGACGGGUGCACAUGUUCUUGUCGCGACACGCGAGAGGGACGAUUUUCCAGCUAUAAAUAGUAGGCUGUGGGACUUGAUUUCUGGAGUUGGAACGACGGAAAAUUCCGUCUUACACUCCGAGUUAUAACCGUUCUACUAUAAAACACCCACAAUCACGAAUUCUGCUACGAUACAGGGUAUUAACUCGAUCGCUAUUACGAUUCAACGUCCGAUCGAUUAUAACUAUCCAACGAUUGUUUGAGUGCUGCUCAAAUUGAGUUUAUACUUUGUUAUUCAUCGUGAUUUCGACUUGAAUGUUUGAGUGCUGUCUAAAUUCAGACGAUACUCUGUCAUUCGUUGUGAAUCCGCUGAAUUGUUAAGUAUUGCACUUUAUUAAUCGUUGUGAGGGUUUAAUCUCGUGAAUUGUCGUAAAUGUUGUAUUAGUUAUUUACCUAGUUUCGUGUGCAUCAUUUCAUAAAUUAGGUAUUAGUCUUACCAGUAGACUAAUCUUUACCCCCACGCACUUACAAUCAAAGUAGAUGCUAAUUCUCAGAAGAAUCUGAAUCAUGAAGCUUGUUAAUUCAAUACUGCAUGCUUAUAAUGUCAUUACAGUAGAUUGGAGUAAGAAUUGGAUCCGGCACUGAAGGACUUCAAGAAGUGGCUUCUUUAUUUUAAUUAAAUCAA
This 1334-nucleotide long non-coding RNA is filed under the name Helianthus annuus (common sunflower). Its description in RNAcentral is "hypothetical non coding rna". The record is from RNAcentral. Lineage: Eukaryota; Viridiplantae; Streptophyta; Magnoliopsida; Asterales; Asteraceae.